RNAcentral lists this long non-coding RNA (348 nucleotides) under Monodelphis domestica (gray short-tailed opossum). Its description in RNAcentral is "lncRNA (ENSMODG00000036593.1)". Lineage: Eukaryota; Metazoa; Chordata; Mammalia; Didelphimorphia; Didelphidae. The record is from RNAcentral.
CUGCUAGAGAUCUAGAAGAGAACAGCAAUCAUUCAAGCCACAAGCCAGAGGCCAUAGACCAGGAGAAACAGAAUCAACCAGAGCCAAUCAGAGGGUUCCUGGAGGUGAAUUUUGAAGUCAAAUACCAUAGAGUGAAAGAAGAAUCUGGGAAUUAUAUCCAUCAUUGGCUACCUUCAAAUAAAACUGUGCCAAGGACUUUGGUGGUGCUAACUUUCCUUCUGAUUCUGUGACCGCAGAGGUGGGGUAAGUUAUGUGACUGCGGAAAAUAUGGGUUUCAAGAUUGUGAAUUGCUCAAACUGUAAAGAUAAUUUUUAGCGUCUUGAUUUUUUAUCAAAAAUAAGUGGUCGC